Molecule: ribosomal RNA, 408 nt
Filed under: uncultured bacterium
Lineage: Bacteria
Description: partial 16S ribosomal RNA
Rfam family: Bacterial small subunit ribosomal RNA
Source: RNAcentral
GAUGAACGCUGGCGGCGUGCUUAACACAUGCAAGUCGAACGAAGUGGAGAACGGGUGAGUAAUACGUGGGUAACCCGCACUCCUUUCUGGGAUAAGCCCUGGAAACGGGGUCUAAUACCGCAUAAAGGGGGAGGGGGCCGCGGCCUAUCAGCUUGGUGGUGGGGUGAUGGCCUAACAAGGCGGUGACGGGGUGACGGCCUGAGAGGGUGAACGGCAACGUAGGAACUGGGACUCGUCCCAGCGGCCUACGGGGUGCAGCAUUGGGGGAUAGUGCGCAAUGGGCGAAAGACUGAUGCAGCGACGCCGCGUGGGGUAUGCGGGCUUUCGGGUUGUUAAACACUUUCGCUAUCGAACGGGUAGGUGGAGAAGAAGCGCCGGCUAACUACGUGCCAGCAGCCGCGGUAAUAC